UACCCGCUCGCUGGGGCUGUGCGGGGUGGCCCGCGGGUGCGCGCCUUGCUGCGGUGGGUGGGCGGCUGCCGGUCAGAGAGCUAGGAAUCUACGCUCUGGUAGUACGAGCUUCCCCUUUUCCGUUCCUUUUUGACCGUGCAGGCCUAGUUCUUUGCCAGAAGGAAAUGUCUGUCUUCCCCCUAACGCCUACAGCAGGACUAACGUCAAAAGACCCAGCCCCACAGGCACCCCUAGCCUCCUCCCCUGUCCCAGCGCUGAAGCACGAGGUCUCGCGUACCAGGCAGCAGCAGGGAUAUCCUUAGGCCUUUAGGCACAGCAGGGCUCUCUAGUGGUCAGAACAUCCUUCCCUUCCAGUGGCCACAGAUUCGCUGGGCGACACAGUCAACCCCUGAAAGUUGGUCUGACUUCAGAGUGGGCCCUGCUCCGCCACACAACAUUGGGCAAUGGCCUACAGAACUGCUUCUAAACCAAAGGGUUCCUGGAUUGCAGUGCUGUGCGAAAGAUUGCCACUGUUUUGCACUGCAGCUGCUCACUGGUGUAGAUCUACUGUAUUACUCACUCUUAAGUUCCACCACUGUAAAUACAGAACUGCUUUGUUCAAGUCCCUGAGGCUUGAUGAGCCUGCUUUUGACACAGCCUGGAAAUGGAGAUCGAAGAGCAUUGUUAAUCGACAGAAAAGAUGUUACAGAGAUUGUCAGUUACCUUUUGCUGCUGAUACCCAUCAACUCUAAUAGAAAUGUAAGAACACAGAACUGGAAAGGACCAUCUGGAACCAUCUGUAAGCCGUUCCUAGCACUGUGGGCUACUGUAAAUUAGAUAUUUAAUCACAAAUGGUGCAUAGAACAUCUUCUCCACGUGCCAUAGGCUGUAAAACAGUUCACAUGUAACACAGUUAAGAAAGAUGAUGAUUAAUAAUGAACAUCCAGAACUGUAAUGUGCCAUAAAAAGAACACAGCAUCAAUCAUCAGCUUCUGAGAACAGGCCAAUACAAUAAUUUGGGGGUAGAAUGAUUUUAAGAGAUAAAGUGUGAGGUUUGCUGUAAGAAGGCAAAAACAAAACAAAACAACAACAACAAAAAAACAGCUUCCAUUACUGUGACGCAGGAGAUUUUUUCAUGACCUCAAACCUUGCAAUCCAUUUAGCUUGGACGUUGUGACCCAGAUUCAUUUCCCACUCGCUUGUUGGAGAGGAGUUCAUGAUGGAAGUGUAUAUUCACCUCAUUUUCAUUUUCCCCCAUUGGUAGUAUCACACUCUAGUCUGAGCAACAUACUUUGAGGUUCUAUUACAAUGAAUACAGACCUCCAUGAAUACAUGCCUCCUGUAAAAUGGCCUGCCACUAUUAAAUUAUAUCAUCUGAGACAAACUAUUUACAAAUUACUCUGAAGCCACAUAAAACAUUCUAGGAAUUGUUCCUUGUGAAUGUGUUUUGACAGAUGGUCAACACUUCGGACAGACACUGUGCAUCUCUUGUGCAGGACAAUGCAGUGUUAUGACAGUCACUGAGAACUUUUUUACAGGAGGUGUAUCUUGAUCUUCAGUGUUACUACGGUUUACUGAAUACCUAUUAGGUGAAAAACAGACAACUUUUUUUCCCUUCUGCUCUAACUUUACAAAUAGCAAAUGCUAUAUAGUUUGAUCUUGUGAUGCUGUCCAGAGAGAUAUCUUUCUGUGGGCAGAAAGUCUAUGAAGGUCUACAGCAUCUGAUCCCAAUGGUCAUUUGACCUCUGGUGAUUAGCAUCCACCCAGGGCAAUGGUAUGGUCAGUGGAGAAUAUGAAGGCAGGGCAAGAAAAGGUGCCUUCAAUUUAGCAUGUCCAGCCUACAUCCCCUUCUCACCAGCUGUGGGUGACUUUCACCAUACAGCCACUGCUCUUCAGCCAUCAGGUAGGUUUGAAAAAACUACAGAUGUCCAUGCAGAAGUGCAACUCCUGGCUAACUCACAUGAUCUGAUUCUGUGCUACAGAGAUUUAGGGGUGUCUUUGCAGUGCACUGGUCUGCUGCCGAUGGCCUUUAAGGAAAACAAGCAUCAUUUGAGGUUAUAUUAAGCUAUAGAUGAAAAAGUGCAUCAAAAAUACUGUAGUUUUUUGGACUGGUCUGAAAGAUAGCCUUCCUUUCUAUUCAAUCCGAGUAAGUCUUCCUUGUACAGUGUGACUGCUUCAUCUAAAAAGGAAAAAUAAUGGCUAAUGGACCCUUUUAUUGGAUGGCUUUAGGGUUUGAGGUGCUGUUAUCUUCUAGCACUAAGGCCAGGCUGAAUCUGAGGGGUUUCAGUUAGCCACAGUCAUAAAACAGAAUAUAAAACAACUGUGAAGAAGUGAAAAAAAAAGAGCUUACCACAUUUUUUAGUUUCCCUUGAUCCUCAUGGGCUGAUCAAGAAAUAUGUGGCCUCUGUAAAUGGAAGUUAUUCCAUAAAUACAUUGAGUGGAGCCUACAGCAUCCCAGAGGAGCUAUUCAUCAACUCCAACAGGAAUAUGCAAUGGGAGGCCUUCACUGAAUUAAAAACAACAGGGAAAAAAGAGUUAUCCACUUAUCUCAUCAUUUGGUUAUCUCUGAUUUCAAGGAGUGCACAGAAAUGUUAAGCCCUCGCUAGACUUUUUAUAAGAGCUCCUAAGCCCAAUGUCUUUUUUUCCCCUAAAGUACAGGAGAGAGCCAACAAUUUCUGCAUGCACUGUCUUUCAUGCAAAAUACAUUUUAAUUAAAUUUACAUUAAAUAAGAUUUAAAUAAUUUAUUUUUACUGAUUUAGAAACAGCUAUUAAAAUCCAAAUUUAAAAAUUCAGCACUCACUGAUAGACAGUUUUAAAUACCACUGGUAGAUACUACUGUCCAUUCUGCCCGAGCUUCAACAGAAUUUGUGUAAUUAAAUUUAAGAUUCUUUAGGAACUGUAAAGUGAAAGAAGAAAGUUGGUUAAGGUCCAAUCUUAUGAGAUGCUAAACAUUUUCAAGACAGAUCAAGUGCCCUCAAUUUUAUCUUAAACCAAAUGAAAGUUGGUGGUGCUUAGUAUCUAUCAGAGGUGCUCAGCACUUUGCAGGGUUAAAUCCCCCAAGAACAAGCAAACAGUAUGCUCUGAAUACUGACAGGCUUUUAGAAUACAGUCUAGUAAUGGCCACAGCCAUGACCUGGAGGAACUACUUCUCAUGAGGCCAGAGAUAAUUCAGCCUCUGUGUGAGUUCACACUUAAGACAUUCCUGAUCAGAAAUGACCAAGUGGUGUAAAUUAUGAGUUAUCAGUCUUAAGUCUCAAUAUAUAAACUACUGUCUGACAGGAAGCAAAAUCUAUAAAUUGAUUUUAUUUAGGGGUAAACUUUGUUUACGGUAGUAAAAAGAGACGUACUCCAUUUGCUAACCCACUAUUCUCAGGACACUUACAGCUUCCACUGAGAAGGUCUGGCAGGACUUUAUUUUGCACAGUGUGCUAGGCUCACAAUCAGUAAGGCAUGCUGACUGUAUAUGUAAGAACUUCUGUACUGUGUUGAUCACAUGUUCCAUGGAAAAUGGAUGCACUUUAAAUUUCACUUUGAAUUGCACUUUUUUUUUCCCUACAGUGUAAAAAAACCCAACAUAUCAGCUAAGUGUUAAAAAUCCAUGCAAUAAUAUUAGGCAUAAGAACUCAUACUCAAAGUUAUUAAGAAUGUUUUGAGGCUUCUACAGUCACAAGUGAAACUGACUGUUACGCAUAUCACUGACUGCACAAUCUUUUUCACACUAGUUGUGUACUUUUAGCUCAGAAGUGAAAGGUGGUGAAUUCUAACCAUCGCAUCUUUGCUGUGCAGAAUGGCUUUGGGAAGGGGACCAUGCAAGUAGAACUGUGAUGGAAUGUUAGGUCAGUGGAAUAUAACUGCUAAGUUAGAACUGGUCAAAGCAGAAAGACUGAAGAUGAUCAUUUGUAGAAAAUGCCUUUGAGCUGGGAACCUUAAUGACUACAGCUAGCUAGAAAUUUGGUCAUGCUUUUUAUCCAAAUACAUUACCUCUAUCUCAGUAUUAAUCCUUUCAGCAGCUGACAUACUGGUACAUACUGUCUUGCAAGAGAAAGAACCUAUUUUUCUCUGGCCUCCUCCAUUCAUAUUAUGCUACCUUUCAUCUAAUGCUGACCCAUCCACAUCACUUUCGCUGGAUUUAAUGCAGAAUGGUGGGGCUGCCGGAAGCCAAAUUGCUACACUUCUUAUACCUCAGCUUAUAUGAUUAAGUCUUCUAGAAUCAGAACACUGCAAAGUAUAAUGAACUUGCAUUGUAUCAAGUGAAAGGGACAGCCAAGUGACAGAAGGUAGUGGCUUAGUAUGACACUGCAUUAUAAUGCAGCUCUGGGGAAUAAAAUUCAGGAGAAAUUAUUUGGAUGAAAAAAAAUUGAUCAAAGGCAAG
Molecule: long non-coding RNA, 4352 nt
Organism: Numida meleagris (helmeted guineafowl)
Lineage: Eukaryota; Metazoa; Chordata; Aves; Galliformes; Numididae
Exons: 3
Source: RefSeq, a predicted model, not a curated record